GAUGGUUGCAUACCUCUACAGUGAUCACAGGUCUUCUUCUUCCACUCUUGUGUAUCUCUCCAUCUUGAGAGAUGGAGGUCUUGAUGGUUGCAUACCUCUACAGUGAUGGUAAUGUCACUUUUGUUCUUUGAUUUGGUCAGCGGGUUGAAGUAGAGCUUUAAUAGUAGCUGACAUCAUCUUGCUCAGUGUGCAUGCUCACAGAACUUUCACUUGUAAAAUUAAUAAACUUUGCUCGAUGUGUUGUCCUAUUUGCAAAACCAAGGCAGAGAUCAAGUGUAUGGGCUCUGCUGGUGGAAAAAACACCAACAGAACCAAAUCUAUUUCUUUAUUUAUUUUUCUUCAUCCUUAGGCACAUUGAACAAGAUAAAGUUGGUGUUACAUAAUUUGUUUAUUUAUGGCGU
This 401-nucleotide long non-coding RNA is filed under the name Sorghum bicolor (sorghum). RNAcentral describes it as "long non-coding RNA (SBIC_LNC004350)". The record is from RNAcentral. Lineage: Eukaryota; Viridiplantae; Streptophyta; Magnoliopsida; Poales; Poaceae.